CCUACGGGUGGCAGCAGUGAGGAAUAUUGGUCAAUGGGCGUAAGCCUGAACCAGCCAAGUCGCGUGAGGGAUGAAGGUUCUAUGGAUCGUAAACCUCUGUUAUAAGGGAAUAAAGUGUGGGACGUGUCCUGUUUUGUAUGUACCUUAUGAAUAAGGAUCGGCUAACUCCGUGCCAGCAGCCGCGGUAAUACGGAGGCUCCGAGCGUUAUCCGGAUUUAUUGGGUUUAAAGGGUGCGUAGGCGGCCUUUUAAGUCAGCGGUGAAAGUCUGUGGCUCAACCAUAGAAUUGCCGUUGAAACUGGGAGGCUUGAGUAUGUUUGAGGCAGGCGGAAUGUGGGGUGUAGCGGUGAAAUGCUUAGAUAUCACGCAGAACCCCGAUUGCGAAGGCAGCCUGCCAAGCCAUGACUGACGCUGAUGCACGAAAGCGUGGGGAUCAAACAGGAUUAGAUACCCCUGUAGUC
Molecule: ribosomal RNA, 460 nt
Filed under: uncultured bacterium
Lineage: Bacteria
Description: partial 16S ribosomal RNA
Rfam family: Bacterial small subunit ribosomal RNA
Source: RNAcentral